This 1090-nucleotide ribosomal RNA is filed under the name Lonsdalea populi. Its description in RNAcentral is "bacterial LSU rRNA". It matches the Rfam family "Bacterial large subunit ribosomal RNA", at positions 758 to 1829 of the family's 2925-position model. Lineage: Bacteria; Pseudomonadati; Pseudomonadota; Gammaproteobacteria; Enterobacterales; Pectobacteriaceae. The record is from RNAcentral.
AACACUAACUGGAGGACCGAACCGACUAAUGUUGAAAAAUUAGCGGAUGACUUGUGGCUGGGGGUGAAAGGCCAAUCAAACCGGGAGAUAGCUGGUUCUCCCCGAAAGCUAUUUAGGUAGCGCCUCGUGAAGUCAUCUUCGGGGGUAGAGCACUGUUUCGACUAGGGGGCCAUCCCGGCUUACCAACUCGAUGCAAACUGCGAAUACCGAAGAAUGUUAUCACGGGAGACACACGGCGGGUGCUAACGUCCGUCGUGAAGAGGGAAACAACCCAGACCGCCAGCUAAGGUCCCAAAGUCAUGGUUAAGUGGGAAACGAUGUGGGAAGGCCCAGACAGCCAGGAUGUUGGCUUAGAAGCAGCCAUCAUUUAAAGAAAGCGUAAUAGCUCACUGGUCGAGUCGGCCUGCGCGGAAGAUGUAACGGGGCUAAACCAUGCACCGAAGCUGCGGCAGCGACGCUUAGGCGUUGUUGGGUAGGGGAGCGUUCUGUAAGCCUGCGAAGGUGGCCUGUGAGGGCUGCUGGAGGUAUCAGAAGUGCGAAUGCUGACAUAAGUAACGAUAAUGCGGGUGAAAAACCCGCACGCCGGAAGACCAAGGGUUCCUGUCCAACGUUAAUCGGGGCAGGGUGAGUCGACCCCUAAGGCGAGGCCGAAAGGCGUAGUCGAUGGGAAACAGGUUAAUAUUCCUGUACUUGGUGUUACUGCGAAGGGGGGACGGAGAAGGCUGGGUUAUCCGGGCGACGGUUGUCCCGGUUUAAGCGUGUAGGUGGGUGUUUUUGGUAAAUCCGGAACACCGUUAACACUGAGGCGUGACGACGAGUCACUACGGUGAUGAAGUAACCGAUGCCAAGCUUCCAGGAAAAGCCUCUAAGCUCCAGGUAACACGAAAUCGUACCCCAAACCGACACAGGUGGUCAGGUAGAGAAUACCCAGGCGCUUGAGAGAACUCGGGUGAAGGAACUAGGCAAAAUGGUGCCGUAACUUCGGGAGAAGGCACGCUGGCGUUGGUGAAGGGACUGGCUCCCGGAGCUGAUACCAGUCGCAGAUACCAGCUGGCUGCAACUGUUUAAUAAAAACACAGCACUGUGCAAA